Molecule: ribosomal RNA, 253 nt
Filed under: uncultured bacterium
Lineage: Bacteria
Description: partial 16S ribosomal RNA
Rfam family: Bacterial small subunit ribosomal RNA
Source: RNAcentral
UACGAAGGGGGCUAGCGUUGUUCGGAAUCACUGGGCGUAAAGCGCACGUAGGCGGAUCUUUAAGUCAGGGGUGAAAUCCCGAGGCUCAACCUCGGAACUGCCUUUGAUACUGGGGAUCUCGAGUCCGGGAGAGGUGAGUGGAACUGCGAGUGUAGAGGUGAAAUUCGUAGAUAUUCGCAAGAACACCAGUGGCGAAGGCGGCUACCUGGAUUGAUACUGACACUGAGGCGCGAGAGCGUGGGGAGCAAACAGG